RNAcentral lists this ribosomal RNA (432 nucleotides) under uncultured bacterium. RNAcentral's name for it is "partial 16S ribosomal RNA". It matches the Rfam family "Bacterial small subunit ribosomal RNA", at positions 29 to 506 of the family's 1533-position model. The record is from RNAcentral.
AACGAACGCUGGCGGCAUGCCUAACACAUGCAAGUCGAACGAGACCUUCGGGUCUAGUGGCGCACGGGUGCGUAACGCGUGGGAACCUGCCCUUAGGUUCGGAAUAACUCCCCGAAAGGGGUUCUAAUACCGGAUAAUGUCUUCGGACCAAAGAUUUAUCGCCUUUGGAUGGGCCCGCGUUGGAUUAGCUAGUUGGUAGGGUAAAAGCCUACCAAGGCGACGAUCCAUAGCUGGUCUGAGAGGAUGAUCAGCCACACUGGGACUGAGACACGGCCCAGACUCCUACGGGAGGCAGCAGUGGGGAAUAUUGGACAAUGGGCGAAAGCCUGAUCCAGCAAUGCCGCGUGAGUGAUGAAGGCCUUAGGGUUGUAAAGCUCUUUUACCCGGGAUGAUAAUGACAGUACCGGGAGAAUAAGCUCCGGCUAACUCCGU